This is a non-coding RNA of Paramuricea clavata, 420 nucleotides long. The record is from the annotation of a GenBank genome assembly. NCBI's taxonomy places the organism in Eukaryota, Metazoa, Cnidaria, Anthozoa, Malacalcyonacea, Plexauridae.
GUUUAAUCAUUUCUAGCGCUUUCUCAAUACAUUUCCAUGUACAAAUUAUGAAGUCUAAUCUGUACUGAACCUCAAAAAUUUUCCUCAUGCAAUAUAGCUAUGCAGUCGUCUGAUUAAAUUCCACCUCAGACCUGAGUCACAUGCGAGAAAAGUGCUUCCAAUUUGACAAUACCAAACAGCACAGGUUUUCUCUAAGUACACCAGUUUCCUGACGUAGAAACACUACAGGAACCUCAGAGAGAGAUGUUUGGAACUGAUAGAGCUUCCAAUGUAAACAAACUUUGUUUGAGAACGAAUUUUUAAAUGUCGGAAUUGUUGGCAAAGUGUUUUUUCCGCUUUGUACAGUUAGGCUUCGAGGUGGCCGUUUUUUUUAAUGCCCGCUAAUAAGUAGACUAAUAAUGACGGCAAGUUAGGAAGUGU